CCUGAUCAUUCGCACCUUCCUUCGACCAUCACCAUCGCCUGCAGACUUCGCCAAGCAAACGCUGCAAAGGCUUUCAUCAAAGGAUUAUAGAAUAUUUCAUCAAGUUGAUUAACAAGAAACAUGGAAAGAACAUCAGCAACCACAAUAGACCACUUGGAAAACUGAGGGAAGCUGAACGUGCCAAAAGAGCUUUAAGCAGCCAGCAGCAAGUUAGGACUCAUGCUUGAUUUGACGAGUUGAACAAUGACCUCUUUAGCAAAAACAUGGGACUUGUCAAGAAGGCUAUGGGGGAUGCUGGUUUGGAGAACCACCAGAUGCAUGAAAUUGUUCCUGUUAGUGGGGCUACCAGGAUCCCAAAAGUCCAAUAACUUCUCAAGGACUACUUUGAUGGAAAGGAACCCAACAAGAGUGUAAAACCAGAUGAAGCAGUGGCUUAUGGGGGUGGUGUUCAAGGAGGUAUUCUAAGCCGGAAAGGUGGUGAUGAAAGCAAAGAUAAAUGCUAUUCAUACUAGCUUUUGGAAGAUAUCUAUGG
Long non-coding RNA from Coffea arabica (coffee), 532 nucleotides. RefSeq lists it as uncharacterized. The record is from RefSeq and is a predicted model, not a curated record. Lineage: Eukaryota; Viridiplantae; Streptophyta; Magnoliopsida; Gentianales; Rubiaceae.